CCCCCCAUAGAUCCGCCUCUGAGCUAGUCUAAUGGCCUACUGACUCCUGUUAUUUAUGUUCAUAUAUUAAUAGGUAGCUCUUCUUGUGCUCUGAGUAAAAGGUCUCCUAGUAGUAGGAUAGCAAGACGCAAAAAUCCAUAUAAUAGUUCCUGUAAGCCUUCUUGUACUAGUAGUGGGAGAGUAAGAAGAAGUUGUAGAACUAUUGAUACUCCUAGUGCAUGUGACUCAUCACCUCUUAAUAGUAAACCUGGUUAUACAAGAGGUGGUAAAACUACAAAUGCGAGUAAGAAUAGUAAUACUAAUUGUAAACUUGUUAAUUAUUAUAUCAUUUACAGGUAAUUCAUCUGUUAUAAGUAGAUGUAGUUCUCUUUCUUCUUUGUCGGAUACUGAUAAUGUAGAUGAUGAAAAAGGUUAUUGCUUUUGUGGUGGGAAAGACGAAGGUCAAAUGGUUUAUUGUGAAAAUAAAAAUUGCAGAAAUGGCCAAUGGUUUCACUUUAAGUGUGUUAAGAUGAAAACAGCACCAAGAGGAUUGUGGUUUUGCUCUAAUACCUGUAAUGAGGAAUUUCAGUGUCAUUAAUGAUUAAUGAACAAUGAUAAUAAACUUUUAUUAACAAUGAUAAUAAAUUAUAGGCGUGGCCGAUCAAACAGCACUCCAAUCAUGCCUCUAUGAUGCUUCCUACUUUCUCUGUAGCAGUAAGAAUUCUUGCAACAACUGCACUAGUUUGUAGACCAAGGACCAGUGCUUCAAUGGGUGCAGUUAGCAUUUGAUUGAUGCUUUCUCUGCGUAGAAAUUUUCCACCUACGAAAAUGCAGGAUAUCGUCCGACCAUUCGUAAUGUCGGUCAAUGGUCUUCUAAAAAUUGCCGUGGUGCUAUCUAAUCUUUGAUCAUCCAGCUGAACACCUGCAUUACUAGCUCUGCAGUGUCAAUAAUAGCGUCCGAUAAUACCUGGUUGCCAGAAAUUG
Molecule: long non-coding RNA, 963 nt
Organism: Amphimedon queenslandica
Lineage: Eukaryota; Metazoa; Porifera; Demospongiae; Haplosclerida; Niphatidae
Exons: 5
Source: RefSeq, a predicted model, not a curated record